AACGUACCCUGGAGUGGGGGAUAACGUAGCGAAAGUUACGCUAAUACCGCAUACGAUCUAAGGAUGAAAGUGGGGGANUCGCAAGAGCCUCAUGCUCCUGGAGCGGCCGAUAUCUGAUUAGCUAGUUGGUAGGGUAAAAGCCUACCAAGGCUUCGAUCAGUAGCUGGUCUGAGAGGACGACCAGCCACACUGGAACUGAGACACGGUCCAGACUCCUACGGGAGGCAGCAGUGGGGAAUUUUGGACAAUGGGCGCAAGCCUGAUCCAGCAAUGCCGCGUGAGUGAAGAAGGCCUUCGGGUUGUAAAGCUCUUUUGUCAGGGAAGAAACGGUGAAGGCUAAUAUCUUUUGCUAAUGACGGUACCUGAAGAAUAAGCACCGGCUAACUACGUGCCAGCAGCCGCGGUAAUACGUAGGGUGCAAGCGUUAAUCGGAAUUACUGGGCGUAAAGCGUGCGCAGGCGGUUUUGUAAGUUUGUCGUGAAAGCCCCGGGCUCAACCUGGGAAUUGCGAUGAAGACUGCAAGGCUUGAAUCUGGCAGAGGGGGGUAGAAUUCCACGUGUAGCAGUGAAAUGCGUAGAGAUGUGGAGGAACACCGAUGGCGAAGGCAGCCCCCUGGGUCAAGAUUGACGCUCAUGCACGAAAGCGUG
RNAcentral lists this ribosomal RNA (647 nucleotides) under Burkholderiales bacterium 05-04PB. RNAcentral's name for it is "bacterial SSU rRNA". It matches the Rfam family "Bacterial small subunit ribosomal RNA", at positions 123 to 763 of the family's 1533-position model. Lineage: Bacteria; Pseudomonadati; Pseudomonadota; Betaproteobacteria; Burkholderiales. The record is from RNAcentral.